Molecule: long non-coding RNA, 205 nt
Filed under: Olea europaea (common olive)
Lineage: Eukaryota; Viridiplantae; Streptophyta; Magnoliopsida; Lamiales; Oleaceae
Description: long non-coding RNA (OEUR_LNC005284)
Source: RNAcentral
GUAACGCCCCGAAUUCUAAUAACCCGAAAUGUUACGAAACAUGAAUAUACCUUGAAAUAAACAAUUUUAAUAUAACGAGAAAUUCUGUAAAAGAUUGAAUAACAUUUAAUCAAAAGAUAAAUUUAAAUAUGCGGAACGUUUGAAAACAUAUCAUUCAUCCAAAAAUUAUUAGAACAGUUAAAACUAAUUAAAAAUUUAUAAUGCA